CAAAGGUAGCAUAAUUAUUAGUUUUUUAAUUGAAAGCUUGUAUGAAGGGUUGGACGAGAUAAAAUCUGUCUUUAUUUAAAUUACAAUAAAAUUUAACUUUUAAGUCAAAAGGCUUAAAUGUGUGUAAAAGACGAGAAGACCCUAUAGAUCUUUAUUUAGUUAAUAUUUUGAUAAUUUAGGAUUAUUUUAAUUUAAAGUUUUAAUUAAAUUUUAUUGGGGUAAUAUAAAGAUUAAAUAAAUUCUUUUUGUUUAUUACAUUAAUUUAUGAAUUUAUGAUCCAAUAUUAUUGAUUAUAAGAUUAAGUUACCUUAGGGAUAACAGCGUAAUUUUUUUGGAGAGCUCAUAUCGAUAAAAAAGUUUGCGACCUCGAUGUUGGAUUAAAAAUUAGCUUGGGUGCAGAAGCUCAAGAUUUUGGUCUGUUCGACCAUUAAAUUUUUACAUGAUCUGAGUUCAGACCGGCGUAAGCCAGGUCGGUUUCUAUCUUUAUUUAAUUAAAAUAUUUUAGUACGAAAGGACCAAAUAUU
This 524-nucleotide ribosomal RNA is filed under the name Cicindela campestris. Its description in RNAcentral is "partial 16S ribosomal RNA". It matches the Rfam family "Bacterial large subunit ribosomal RNA", at positions 1951 to 2700 of the family's 2925-position model. Lineage: Eukaryota; Metazoa; Arthropoda; Insecta; Coleoptera; Carabidae. The record is from RNAcentral.